ACAAACUUGGUCAUUUAGAGGAAGUAAAAGUCGUAACAAGAUUUCCGUAGGUGAACCUGCGGAAGGAUCAUUAACGCGCCAUGGAAAUCAACCUUUAAACAGGUAUGACCUUCCACCUGGCCACCCUUGUUUAUCUUUAACCUGUUGCUUUGGUGGGCCCGCUGCAAGGCCGCUGGAGAAUGUGAAUGUUUUCUGGCCUGUGCCCACUAAAGUCCUAUUGAACUCUUUGUUGUCUUUUUGCUGUUUGAGUGUUAAAAAAGUAAAAUUUUUAAAAUUUUCAAUAACGGAUCUCUUGGUUCUGGCAUCGAUGAAGAACGCAGC
RNAcentral lists this unclassified non-coding RNA (321 nucleotides) under uncultured fungus. Its description in RNAcentral is "partial contains small subunit ribosomal RNA, internal transcribed spacer 1, and 5.8S ribosomal RNA". The stretch from base 1 to 73 matches the Rfam family "Eukaryotic small subunit ribosomal RNA", at positions 1759 to 1831 of the family's 1831-position model. The record is from RNAcentral. Lineage: Eukaryota; Fungi.